Molecule: long non-coding RNA, 300 nt
Organism: Helianthus annuus (common sunflower)
Lineage: Eukaryota; Viridiplantae; Streptophyta; Magnoliopsida; Asterales; Asteraceae
Exons: 3
Source: RefSeq, a predicted model, not a curated record
CAAGAACAAAGAGCAGGGGAACAAGAACUUCAAAACCCUUGUUCUCACAAAAUCAAACAAUUGAAGGGCAAAUUCGGUCAAGAAUCUGUGACCGAAUCGAAAUUCUCGAACAUCCUUUCCUCUCAAACACUAAGUAACUCGGGAAACGCUUCGGGGAGUCAAGCCGGAGCGAACGCGCGUUUAAAGGAGCAGCUUUAAAGUUCCAGGUCAGUUGCCAACUCUUUUGGGAUGAUGAUCAAUUCAUGGCUAAGAAACCGAACACGAUGAAGAUCUUGUUUCCGCACCUUUUGUUAAUCAUAU